AAUGGGGGCAACCCUGACGCAGCAACGCCGCGUGAGUGAGGAAGGUUUUCGGACCGUAAAGCUCUGUCGAGCGGGAAGAAAUGCAUAAUGGCUAAUAUCCAUUAUGCUUGACGGUACCGCUAAAGGAAGCACCGGCUAACUCCGUGCCAGCAGCCGCGGUAAUACGGGGGGUGCGAGCGUUGUUCGGAAUCAUUGGGCGUAAAGAGCGUGUAGGCGGCUGGAUAAGUCAGAUGUGAAAGCCCUGGGCUUAACCCAGGAAGUGCAUUUGAAACUGUUCAGCUGGAGUAAGGGAGAGGAAAGUGGAAUUCCUGGUGUAGAGGUGAAAUUCGUAGAUAUCAGGAGGAACACCGGUGGCGAAGGCGACUUUCUGGCCCUAUACUGACGCUGAGACGCGAGAGCGUGGGUAGCAAA
This 411-nucleotide ribosomal RNA is filed under the name uncultured bacterium. Its description in RNAcentral is "bacterial SSU rRNA". It matches the Rfam family "Bacterial small subunit ribosomal RNA", at positions 370 to 772 of the family's 1533-position model. The record is from RNAcentral.